CCAAGCGGUAGUGCUGUAGGGAGGUAGUUAAGGAAGGAGGGGUCCCUCAUCGGUGGAUUUCGUGCCUGUAUAAGAAACCAGUGCUUGUUCUCUUCCCACCAAAUGAGGACACGGGGAGAAGACAGUCACCUGUGGGUCAGGAGGAGAGGCCUCAGCAGGAGCCUGAUGUCCUUAGGAACUUUCAGGCUUCCCGACCUGUGAGAAAUAAGCAUUCCUUUUCUAGGAAUGUACUUCUCUUGUACUUCUCUUAUGGCAGCCUUAGUUGAUUAGGACACUGUGGAAAUCUUCCAUGAUUAAAUCAGUUCAAGUGUUUUGUGUCCAGAAUAUGCUGUGGUCCAGGAGUGGAGAUGCUGGCCAGAGAAGCAAAGGUCUCCAAAAUCAACACUUUCUUGGCCUGCAGGACCAUAGCAUUGACUGAACCCAGUGCCUUACUUUGCCAGGAAAGAAGGAGUGACAAUCCCUUUUGACAACAGCAAUGAACAGCCUAUAUCUGGCUCCUUUGCAUUUUGAGACCAAAGGGAACAUGAAUUUCCAAACCCAUUCUCGGAAUAAUCCUUAGCAGCUACCAUUACUCAUAACUGAUCAAUAACAAAAAUAAUGAGAAGCAUGACAGGAGGUUCUUUUGGGGAAUUAUUCCUUCCAACGUCAGGAUGAGUGGUCAGCUUUCUGGGUUCUGGGCCAUUCAGUUUUUAGAAACUGCAGCACAGAUGCUACUGGCUUUUGGAUGCUUCAAACUGAGGAAAGGAGAGAGGAUAAAAAGCAGGUGAAGGAAGAUGCACUAACAGUAUGAGCCAAUGAAGUGUUUGGAAUAAGAAAGCCCCUCAGACUUGGGCCUAGAUACAAGCAGGAAGAACAAGGAGGAAAGAAGCACAAGCAAAAGUCAGGCUCAAGGAAAAGACUGCAUGAUUCAAAGAGAUUACAAGACAAUACCUGGAAAUGGAAAGCAAGGAAGUAUAAAGUAACAAGUAUUACAGAGAUGACAGAGGACACUAGAAGCACCAGCAAAUAAAGCAAGUAUAGGGCCGGGGAUUUAGCUCAGUGGUGCCACCGCCUGCCUCGCAAGAGCAAGGUCCCC
This is a long non-coding RNA of Heterocephalus glaber (naked mole-rat), 1075 nucleotides long. Lineage: Eukaryota; Metazoa; Chordata; Mammalia; Rodentia; Bathyergidae. The record is from Ensembl.